GCUUACGGCCAUACCACCCUGAGCACUCCCGACCUCGUCUGAUCUCGGAAGCUAAGCAGGGCUGGGCUUGGUUAGUACUUGGAUGGGAGACUGCCUGGGAAUACCUGGUGCUGUAAGCC
Ribosomal RNA from Maylandia zebra (zebra mbuna), 119 nucleotides. NCBI's taxonomy places the organism in Eukaryota, Metazoa, Chordata, Actinopteri, Cichliformes, Cichlidae. The record is from Ensembl.